AACGUAGGAGCCAAGCGUUAUCCGAAUUCACUGGGCGUAAAGCGCGUGCAGGCGGCCUGAUAAGUUGGAUGUGAAAUCUCCUGGCUCAACUGGGAGAGGCCGUUCAAUACUGUUGGGCUAGAGGGCGACAGAGGGAGGUGGAAUUCCGGGUGUAGUGGUGAAAUGCGUAGAUAUCCGGAGGAACACCAGAGGCGAAGGCGACCUCCUGGGUCGCACCUGACGCUCAGACGCGAAAGCUAGGGGAGCGAACGGG
Molecule: ribosomal RNA, 253 nt
Filed under: uncultured bacterium
Lineage: Bacteria
Description: partial 16S ribosomal RNA
Rfam family: Bacterial small subunit ribosomal RNA
Source: RNAcentral